Long non-coding RNA from Heterocephalus glaber (naked mole-rat), 1902 nucleotides. The record is from Ensembl. Lineage: Eukaryota; Metazoa; Chordata; Mammalia; Rodentia; Bathyergidae.
GGUUUUUUUGUUUGUUUUGAGUUUAUACAAUCAUUAAGAAAUCUUUGGUUUUGGCUGGAAAUUUAAAAAACAAAACAAAACAAAGAAACCACCCUCCCCUGGCUUAUAGCAGCAGUAUUAUGACCUGGCUAAGCUUCUUUUCAACUUUAAGGGUGGGAGUUGAAGGUUGAGAACUACAUUCAAAGAAAAGGUCAAAGGGCAGGGAUGCAGCUUCUAGGGAGCCCGUUGGAUAUAAGAUUGUCAAAUAAUAUUAAUAUUAAUAAUAAUAAUAAACUUAAAUAUUUGGAUUUUUUUUUCUUUUUGGUCAUGCCAAAGGAAAAAAGUGAAAUGUAUAUGCAGCAGUCAGCUUAAAGGAACCUUUGGUGUCUUCCCUUCUACCCCGAAUUCUGCAAAUACACAGAAGCCUGUGGCCUCCACCCACAGGGAAAAGGACAGAGCCCUGACCCGUGGCCAGCGUCAGACACGGGGGCGGGGGGCAGGGGCAGCCCUGGAAGGCAGCAUGGCGGCUAGUGGAUGUGAGGAGACCUGUGAAGACCCCUUUGCAACAGAAAGGAACAGAAGAUUGCAAUUUGCCCUCGGGUUUGGAGUAGCUUUCAAGCAGAGACAUUCAGAGGCGUUAGGAGGUCCCACCCUUGGCUACAGGUCUCAUGAUGCUAUAGGCCAGAGUUUAAUAUUACAGAGAGGAGGGAGGGCAGACUUGGCAACUCUGUAGGGCUGAGAGGAAGUUAAAGCAAGUGACUCAGUCACAAGUUAGAAAUGAGGUAUACAACAGCUCCUGGACUUUGCGGUGGGCAGGACAACCCACGCUUACUCACCUAGCCCUCGCUGCUACCACAGAGGAGGGGAAGGAGUUCUCCCUGCAGCAAGGCCUCCUGUGGACUGGGUAAUGCACACUGCCCAUACAAGCAGAGUUUAAAACCAGUUCUGCAACAAUGCUAAGCUAUGCUGAGGUAUUUUAUGAAGGUGCCAGAAGCUAGCUGUUGUCCACGAAUAUUAUCCUCACAGAUUAAGAUACCACCAUUCAAAGAGAAAACGACAGGACGGAAAAGAGGAAGGGAGAUACAGAUUACAGAAUCAACACAAGAGUCACUUGGAUUUACUGCUUUUAGCAAAGGCCAAGGGUAGAAGAACCAACUUAAGGAAACAAUUCAUGAAAAAGGAUGGUUAGAAGACAGCUACAGCUCAUAGACCAUCCAGAAAACUGGGUGCGAAGUGGACAACUGCUGAGAAAUAUAUUCCCUGCCCUCCUGGUAGGAUCCUUUCACGCCUUACUGGAAAUUUCAUGGUGUCCCAUUUCAUCUCUUUGCACUAAGAAAAGGAUAAUAGGAUUCGUACAGACUUUUAAUGAUGAAAGCAAUUUAUCCUAUUUUUCUCCAAGUCUCCGUAUUGUAGGUGCUCCCCAUGCAAACCUGAUCUUAUUCUUCUUAGAGGACAGCACAGAUUUUUUUCCUUCUCAAAACUGAAGAUAAAUAUGAAGAAAGAUUUACUAUUUUAUAGAGUGUCAUCCUCAAAAUGUCAGGGACUGCAAAUGACUUCAGAACAGCUAGGACUGUGAUUAUAUGAGCAGUGUUACACACUAAAUGCUUUACACACACGCACACACACACAAGUGAACUCUUGAUGGUUAUGAACAAAGUCACCUAUCAAUUUCUGCCCGCUUGGCUGAUUUUAAAUUUCAGGUCUUCAGUCUGUUUCGCUUAUUAGUAUUGGCAGUCUUGCAACAUUUUUGGUACUAACAGAGUUUGAAGAAUAAAGAAACUUUAAAUUCCUCAAGUUGAAAUGCUGACAUAAGGAGAAAGUAUCUGACAAACCCUCCCGAGGGACUGUGGCGGUUAUGACUGCAGAGUGGCCUCUAAGCCUCCAUGCCAUACCCAGCAGCUCCUCUUUCCUGGGGGGAACAAG